GCACUGGGGUAGGUGUGACUGAAUUACCAUACUAUUAAAUUCUUGUCACUCUGGCAAUGCAUUGAAAGUGAGGGGAUCACACAUCAUCGUCUGUGACAGAGGUCAGGAAUGGUCACUGACAUCAAUUAUUGGAUCAAUGCCCUGCAUCUAGCGAACAAGGUUAUCAAAAUAUGAGACCUGGAUCAUUGGGAUAGUUAUGGAGUCUCCGGAGAAUCCAGUGCUGGAUUAAGGAAAAAGUAACAGGAUAGAGAAGGACCUCAAGGAAUAGACAGUCCUAGGUCAGAAGAGGCACCCCCACAGAGACUAGGAUGGAAUGUUACCAACUUCCUGCCUCCUUGUGAGAAUGACUCGAGGAAGGAGAGAAAUAGAUCUCUGUAAAGAAGGAUGAUUCUCAGGGAAAUCUCAGAUUUUCAGUGAUGCAUCACCCACACAGCUGCAGCACCCUAAGAAAAAAACAUUGCUGCCAGCAUCUGUGAUGAAGUGAGAGAGAGGAAAAACGGAUAGAGAGAGAGGCUGACGGAGAAGUACAAGGCCUAACAAGGUUAUAUAUGCCAUCGAGAUCAGCGCUUCACCGAUGUCAUUCUACGUUGCUGUUCAGGUGUAUCGUCUUUCACAUUAUCAUUCACGAUCAUUGAUUUCCAGUUAUGCUAGAAGCAUCUCGUCUUUAGUGACGAGCAGGACAAAGGAUUCCCUCCAAAGGGCUUCAGAAAACGUGAUGAUUUCGGAGGUCUGUGUGCUGCACACCCUCUACGAGCCAUAACCUUCAUUCAUGGCACAGUCUACCAUUACAAAACAAUAACUUCAAAUCGCCGAACAGCAUCUCCAAUUACAGCUUGUUCCUCUUGUAAUAAUAUCGCAGAAUAUGACAUUAUUCUUUAUUAUGGAGGAUGUUUUCAGGCAUGUCCCGCCACAACCACAAAAUGAUGCUUGAGCUCGACUUGAACUCUUCACAGCACCUUGAAUUUCUUUAAAACUACAGUGCAGUACCUUCAUUUAUUUAUAGACAACGUUACAUGUAAAAAACAAUGCAACUGUUGUUUUGUACAGAGGUUUUCUAGCCAGAGGCUAAUUUGCAAACUUAGUCCUUGGUUGAACUUUUAAAAACAGACAAUAAGAGCACCUGUUGAUUCUCACACACACACACACACACACAUGUAGGGUAUACCUAUCCUUAUGGGGCCCACUCAGUCACUUCUGUGGGAAAAAUGCUAAACGCUAACUAUGACGACCUUAACCCCCACCCUGCCCUAACCAUAACCAUAAGUACUCAAGCAAAAUACAAGAGUUUUGAGUAUUUUUAGUUUUUUCAUAGCAGUCACUGAUUUUUAUAAAAUAAGUUUUCCCUUAUGGGGACCAGGAAACUGGUACCCAAAAGGGGGAAAAACGGAUAUUUAUCAUGUUAUGAGGACAUUGUGUCCCCAUAAGGAUAGGUAUACCCGCUCGCACGUCACGCACGCACGCAC
Molecule: long non-coding RNA, 1463 nt
Organism: Brienomyrus brachyistius
Lineage: Eukaryota; Metazoa; Chordata; Actinopteri; Osteoglossiformes; Mormyridae
Exons: 3
Source: RefSeq, a predicted model, not a curated record